Molecule: long non-coding RNA, 4727 nt
Filed under: Salmo salar (Atlantic salmon)
Lineage: Eukaryota; Metazoa; Chordata; Actinopteri; Salmoniformes; Salmonidae
Description: lncRNA (ENSSSAG00000109536.1)
Source: RNAcentral
UCCUUUUCCGGUGGGUGGGGCCACAGGGGAGGGGCUGGGGGCAGAGUUAUGGACCCUUAGGGGGCGUAGUUUGUUUGCCCCCACUAUCUUCUCUCCCCCCUUCCUCUCUCCUCCAUCCUGCCGAAAAAGAAAGGACAGGAAAGGAAAAUGAUGGGAGGAGGAGCGGAAAGAAAGAAGGGGAGGGAAAAGACGAUUUCUUCAGUAUUUCUUCUAUCGAUUACUUCUUCUUCUUCUAGUUCUUCUUCUUGGACAUUGCAGCUUGGUUCUUCUGUUGCAUUCGCUCAAGCCUCUGUUAAUCCGUUAUGAUGCAUGAAGGAAUUUAACAACAAAAAAAUACCUAGAGAGAAAAUCUACUGUUGGGGAUAUGGGGGCAUAUUGGGUUUAUAGAACAUUUACAUUUUAGAUUUUGAUUGAAGAAGUUCUCUUUUUCUGACUCUCUCUCUCUCUCUCUCUGACUCUGUCUAUCAUCAUGCGUUUGUUUAUUGAGUAAAUGUUUGUUCUAUAUCACCCUAAGGAUCCGAUGGACAACCUUUUUUAAGUUUGAUUUCCACCCAAUAGGGUUUUAAAGCUACCAUUUUCUUAUCUUGAAAGUACUCCUAUGUUCCUGAGAUACUCCUAAAUUUUACUAAGAUACUCCUGUUGUACUAAGAUAUUCCUGAGUUGUUUUGAGGAAUAAGUAAGAAUUGAGAGAGCUAUGAGGAGAGAAAACUUCAACCUCUUUAAAUAAUUGAUUUGUAUUGUUAAUAAUGAUGAUAGUCCUAUAAAUACUGAUAUCAAUGUCAAUGCUAAACGAUGAAUGAUGAUAGUUGUUUGCCGUAGAUCUGUUGUCAUGUUUUUUGGAGUUUCAAUCUGCUGUGUCAUCUAGUUUUCAUCGUUUAUUUUCCUUGGGUUCUGUUCAAACUGUUCCCAAACUGUUCCCAAACUGCUCCCAAACUGUUCCAAAACGCCUUUAACCGGGUCCGAUACAUGCAACACGCAUAAACUUUUCAGGGAGGGGUUAGAUGUCGGAUUGUGAUUGUGAGCAACACAGAUAGAACUGUGUAGCGUUGUGUAACGCAGCUCUUUACCUCUGAUAGGUCCCCCCUCAGUGGUAGACAGAGAACCGGGGCCACGUUCAGUAGCCAAAUGUUGUCAAACGUUGCAGAUAGAAAUGUCAUUAACAGAGCCGACAUGGUUCUUCAUUCUACGUGUAAGAGACGCAUGUUUGUUCUAAAUAGCAUUUUUCUAUCCGAGCGUUCCAAAAACAUUGUGUCCUACUGAGUGCGCCCCAGUCAUAGCCAAAUCAACCGGCCAACCAACCAACCGUCAGACCUCCACACAGUAUCUGAUUUACAGCUGGCUGUGAACCAUAGAGUUAGAAAGAGGACUUAUAUCGGGUUAUAUCCACCUAGAGCCCUCUUUCUACCUCUAUGUUGUGAACGAGCUCCACCUCACAUCCCCAAGAGCUCUCCACUAGCUGUCUAGUCUCUCUGUCUUUCUGAUUCUCCAUCACAUGUUUAGCAUUGAGCUGCUUGCUUUACCAAGCCAGAGGAGAACAUUCUAGAAACAUUUUAGAAUCUCUAAGACGUUCUAGAAACUCUAGUCUAGACUCUAGAAACUCUAGUACAUUCUAGAGCAUUCUUUAGAGAGGUUAGCUAACAUGAUUGUAUCCAGAUGUUUUGGAUUAAAACAUAUUUAUUUUGCUAUGAUUACAAUUAUGUAGAUUGUAACAGAUAUUCCCUAUCAUAACUCGUAAAAUGAUAGAUACAAUAUAGAUAUAUAGAGAUAUAAAAGUUUAUAUAUUAUAGAGAGAAAAACGUACUUUUAUUUACUUCAAACACUCUAGCUACGAAGCUAGAGCUCAGAAACUCUCCAUUGAAAUCAGCUACACAGAUUCAAAUUGCACUUUGUCACUGUAGCUCCACACAAUAUCCCACUACAAACUCUAUGCAGAUCUAUCCAACAUUCAUUUCUCCUUUACCAUUAUAGUGCAGAGUAGUUGUGCCAUUAUAAAUAAAUGACAAUACGUAAGUGAGCGCAUAGAAAUGGAAUGUGUAGAACAGGCCUCCCAAUUCAAGUCAAUGAUGGCAUAUCUAUAGAUUAUAUUUCUAUGGGUCAGAUGGUGUAGUGUCAGAUAGUGUAUAUACAACAUUUUAAUAUAGAUGGAUAGAAGUAUAUAGAUAGAGGGUAUGCCCACAUCGUUUUGCUUUUGCACAAUCACUCACAAAAUCCUUAUCCUUCAUAGCACAUCUUUCCUUUAUUUUUUACCCUCCUGCAGUGUUUUGUCCUCUCCUGCUCCCUCUAUCGUUCUCCCAAGCUGUCCAAUCCCAUAUACCACCCCUGCCCUCCGUAUAGGUAGGUCCAGAGAGAGAGAGGGGGGGCCUACAUAUACCACCCCUGCCCUCCGUAUAGGUAGGUGCAGAGAGAGAGAGGGGGGGCCUACAUAUACCACCCCUGCCCUCCGUAUAGGUAGGUCCAGAGAGAGAGAGGGGGGGCCUACAUAUACCACCCCUGCCCUCCGUAUAGGUAGGUGCAGAGAGAGAGAGGAGGGGCCUACAUAUACCACCCCUGCCCUCCAUAUAGGUAGGUCCAGAGAGAGAGAGGGGGGGCCUACAUAUACCACCCCUGCCCUCCGUAUGGGGGGGCCUACAGAGAGAGAGGGGGGGGCUACAUAUACCACCCCUGCCCUCCGUAUAGGUAGGUCCAGAGAGAGGGGGGGGCUACAUCUACCACCCCUGCCCUCCGUAUAGGUAGGUCCAGAGAGAGGGGGGGGCCUACAUAUACCACCCCUGCCCUCCAUAUAGGUAGGUCCAGAGAGAGAGAGGGGGGGCCUACAUAUACCACCCCUGCCCUCCGUAUAGGUAGGUCCAGAGAGAGGGGGGGGGGGCCUACAUAUACCACCCCUGCCCUCCGUAUAGGUAGGUCCAGAGAGAGAGGGGGGGCCUACAUAUACCACCCCUGCCCUCCGUAUAGGUAGGUCCAGAGAGAGGGGGGGGCUACAUAUACCACCCCUGCCCUCCGUAUAGGUAGGUCCAGAGAGGGGGGGGCUACAUAUACCACCCCUGCCCUCCGUAUAGGUAGGUCCUGAGAGAGAGGGGGGGCUACAUAUACCACCCCUGCCCUCCGUAUAGGUAGGUCCAGAGAGAGGGGGGGGGGCUACAUAUACCACCCCUGCCCUCCGUAUAGGUAGGUCCAGAGAGAGAGGGGGGGCCUACAUAUACCACCCCUGCCCUCCGUAUAGGUAGGUCCAGAGAGGGGGGGCUACAUAUACCACCCCUGCCCUCCGUAUAGGUAGGUCCAGAGAGGGGGGGGGUCCUACAUAUACCACCCCUGCCCUCUGUAUAGGUAGGUCCAGAGAGAGCGGGGGGCCUACAUAUACCACCCCUGCCCUCUGUAUAGGUAGGUCCAGAGAGAGGGGGGGGGACCUACAUCAGAGUGGUGUACCUACAUCAGAGAGGUGUUUAUCUACCCAGAAGCCCCAGUGCCUCAGUGCCUUCUGUUUUCAGAGUCACAUCUACCCUUCCCAGCUUGCCCCUCACCAUCCCCCUCGCCCCCUCCUGUGGUUGAUCAACAUCAAACACACUACGCCUUAAAGAGUCCUAGUCGCUGUCUGUGAGCAGGUAGCAGUUGGGAGCAAGGCAGUAGGGACUGGGCUUUGCUUAGUUGGUUGGAACAGUGAGUAAAGCGCAGGAAGAGAGGGGAAUGGAAACUACUUUUGGGGAUCUCCUUCGCCCAGUUUCACACAGUGUAGUGAGAUACUGUAAUUGCAGGGGCGAAAAGGCAAUGAUUUGUUUACUUCUCAGGUGUCUCUAGAGAUAGAUAGCUAGAUAGAUAGAAUCUACACUAUAUAAUAGGCACGCUAAGGCAGUUAGUCAGUUAUAUCAUAUAAUAUGAUAUAAAUUUAUAAAAUCACAUGAAAAAAUAUAGGCCUAGGGUUUGAGUUUCUGUAUGGUUUGUUAUCUGGCAUGGGCAUUUGUAAUGUCUUCCCUUCUUCCCUUAACCUCCAUUACAGACCACCUACCAUUCAUCAUGAAUCUGCCGCUGAAAACUACUUGCACUUGACACUGUGGGUGUCCACUUAUCAGGCAGGAAACUGAUUACUCCAUUUCGGCUCAACAACACCAACAUGCUUGUCCAGAAUUGUAACUGCGGAUCCAAAAUGGCCGACAUCGACACACAACACUGCCGUUGAAUUAAAGCAUGUUGUGUGGAUUGUGAGCUCCAACCAUUAUAAAAUGAAUGACCAUUUUAAGGGGUUUAUUUUGUUUAUAAAAAAAAAAAUAAUCCAGAAGAUUUGUGAAAAGGAGGAUUUACGAAGUUUCUAGUUUACUCUCAAUCAUUCAUCCAUCCUACGUUCCUAUCCAUUUAUUUGUUGUCUUUCCUUUCUAUUUCUGAUGUGACUUCUUGAUCGACUCAUCCGUUUGUCUCUCGUUCUCUCUAUCAUUUUUUCCUCCUCUUUGAGACAACAGACGUCCUCCGAAAGCCAAUCCAACCCCAUUCACUCAAUCAAUCAACUGUUGUGCGUUUGUGAAAUGAUGUAAAUGAUUGGUGUGUGAGGCUAGUGUGUGUUGAAACAGAAAUAAGGGCUCUCCUAACAAACUAAAGGGGUUUCAUGUGCAGGUACAGUAGUGCUGACAAAAGUCAUCUGUAUGUAUCUCAAACCAUACAGUGGUGUGGUCUCCCCUUGUACAGCACUAGGUGUGUGCAUGCGUGUGUGUUGGGGUCAAAGGGUUAGAGGUCAAAGGUCA